This 504-nucleotide ribosomal RNA is filed under the name Bresilia saldanhai. Its description in RNAcentral is "partial 16S ribosomal RNA". It matches the Rfam family "Archaeal large subunit ribosomal RNA", at positions 1919 to 2665 of the family's 2987-position model. Lineage: Eukaryota; Metazoa; Arthropoda; Malacostraca; Decapoda; Bresiliidae. The record is from RNAcentral.
UGUCUGCGUGUAGAGAAUACGGAGUCUAGCCUGCCCACUGGGUGUGUUGAAGGGCUGCGGUAAUUUGACCGUGCGAAGGUAGCAUAAUCAGUAGUUUUUUAAUUGGGAACUGGAAUGAAAGGUUGGACAUAAAAUAAUCUGUCUUUAUUUUGGAGUUAGAAUUUAACUUUUAAGUGAAAAGGCUUAAAUGAAUUAAUGGGACGAUAAGACCCUGUAAAACUUUUAUAUAAAGUUACUUUUUUUGAUUUAAUUUAUUAAUUAAAGUUGAUUUUUAUUUUACUGGGGCGGUAAUAGUAUAGACGAAACUAUUAAUGGUUUUAAAUAAUUAUGUUUAGAGGGCUGAUCCUUUAGAUAAGGAUUAUAAGAUUAAGUUACUUAAGGGAUAACAGCAUAAUAUUUUCUAGAAGGUCUUAUUUACGAAAUUUGUUAUGACCUCGAUGUUGAAUUAAAGUAAUUUUUAGGUGUAUAAGUUUAAAUAAUUAGUCUGUUCGACUAUUAAAUCUU